Molecule: ribosomal RNA, 440 nt
Filed under: uncultured bacterium
Lineage: Bacteria
Description: partial 16S ribosomal RNA
Rfam family: Bacterial small subunit ribosomal RNA
Source: RNAcentral
CCUACGGGAGGCAGCAGUAGGGAAUAUUGCUCAAUGGGGGAAACCCUGAAGCAGCAACGCCGCGUGGAGGAUGAAGGUUUUCGGAUUGUUAACUCCUUUUGUUAGAGAAGAUAAUGACGGUAUCUAACGAAUAAGCACCGGCUAAUUCCGGUCCAGCAGCGCCGGCAAUACGGAGGGUGCAAGCGUAAUUCGGAGUCACUGGGCGUAAAGGGGGUGUAGGUGGGAUAACAAGUCAGAUGUGAAAUCCUGAGGCUUAACAAUAGAACUGCAUUUAAUACUGUUGGACUAGAGAAUGGAAGGGGUAGGUGGAAUGCUUGGUGUAGGGGUGAAAUGCGUAGAGAUCACACGGAAUACUGAUUGCGAAGGCGGCCUGCUAGAACGGAUCUGACGCUGAUGCGCGAAAGCGUGGGGAGCGAACAGGAUUAGAUACCCGAGUAGUC